UGCCAGCCGCCGCGGUAAUACGGAAGGAGCGAGCGUUGUUCGGAAUUACUGGGCGUAAAGAGCACGUAGGUGGUCUAGUAAGUUGGAAGUGAAAUCCCAGAGCUCAACUUUGGAAUUGCUUUCAAAACUGCUAGACUAGAGUUAGGUAGAGGAUAGUGGAAUUCCCGGUGUAGAGGUGAAAUUCGUAGAUAUCGGGAGGAACACCAGAGGCGAAGGCGACUAUCUGGACCUAUACUGACACUGAGGUGCGAAAGCGUGGGGAGCGAACAGGAUUAGAUA
Molecule: ribosomal RNA, 279 nt
Filed under: uncultured bacterium
Lineage: Bacteria
Description: partial 16S ribosomal RNA
Rfam family: Bacterial small subunit ribosomal RNA
Source: RNAcentral